RNAcentral lists this ribosomal RNA (434 nucleotides) under uncultured Rhodocyclaceae bacterium. RNAcentral describes it as "bacterial SSU rRNA". It matches the Rfam family "Bacterial small subunit ribosomal RNA", at positions 948 to 1382 of the family's 1533-position model. Lineage: Bacteria; Pseudomonadati; Pseudomonadota; Betaproteobacteria; Rhodocyclales; Rhodocyclaceae. The record is from RNAcentral.
AAUUCGAUGCAACGCGAAAACCUUACCUACCCUUGACAUGUCCGGAAUCCCGAAGAGAUUUGGGAGUGCCCGCAAGAGAGCCGGAACACAGGUGCUGCAUGGCUGUCGUCAGCUCGUGUCGUGAGAUGUUGGGUUAAGUCCCGCAACGAGCGCAACCCUUGUCAUUAGUUGCCAUCAUUUGGUUGGGCACUCUAAUGAGACUGCCGGUGACAAACCGGAGGAAGGUGGGGAUGACGUCAAGUCCUCAUGGCCCUUAUGGGUAGGGCUUCACACGUCAUACAAUGGUCGGUACAGAGGGUUGCCAACCCGCGAGGGGGAGCUAAUCCCACAAAGCCGAUCGUAGUCCGGAUCGCAGUCUGCAACUCGACUGCGUGAAGUCGGAAUCGCUAGUAAUCGUGGAUCAGCAUGUCACGGUGAAUACGUUCCCGGGUCUU